RNAcentral lists this transfer RNA (73 nucleotides) under Bifidobacterium saguini DSM 23967. RNAcentral describes it as "tRNA-Arg". The record is from RNAcentral. Lineage: Bacteria; Bacillati; Actinomycetota; Actinomycetes; Bifidobacteriales; Bifidobacteriaceae.
GCCCCGGUAGCUCAACGGAUAGAGCCACGGUUUCCUAAACCGCGGGCAGCCGGUCCGACUCCGGCCCGGGGCA